UACGUAGGGGGCAAGCGUUGUCCGGAAUCAUUGGGCGUAAAGCGCGUGUAGGCGGCUUGGUAAGUCCGCUCUGAAAGCCCGGGGCUCAACUCCGGAAUUGCCUUUAAAACUGCAUCGCUAGAAUUGUGGAGAGGUAAGUGGAAUUCCGAGUGUAGAGGUGAAAUUCGUAGAUAUUCGGAAGAACACCAGUGGCGAAGGCGACUUACUGGACACAUAUUGACGCUGAGGUGCGAAAGCGUGGGGAGCAAACAGG
RNAcentral lists this ribosomal RNA (253 nucleotides) under uncultured bacterium. Its description in RNAcentral is "partial 16S ribosomal RNA". It matches the Rfam family "Bacterial small subunit ribosomal RNA", at positions 524 to 776 of the family's 1533-position model. The record is from RNAcentral.